UCGACUUGAGAUCUGUGGGAGUUGACUUGAGCACUAUGUCUAAAAAAUAGGCUCUCUAUCUUUUCUAAAAGAGUCAACUCAAGCUCUAUGAGAGUCAACUCGAGGUCUAUUCCAGUGUCAUUUCGCAUGUUAGAGUUGACUUAAGAUCUACUGGAGUCGACUCAACUUCCUCAAUUCAGUCUUUCUCACUUGAUUUACAUCCAAACUUGAUGUUUUUUUGACUCAAAAUCUUCUCAAGUAUUUUCAAAUGACUUCAAAACUAAUCACAAAGAUUACUUCCUACAAAAAUAUUCUCAACCAUCCUUCAAAGACAUUAGUCUCUUUUAUACUUCAAUAUUAUGUAAUCAUCAAAAUCAUUCCUUAGAUCAACAGUCAGUGAAGACAAUCACCGAAUAGCCUUCAAAGUAUGGUUGGAGUCAUUGUGCAGUACUAACCAGCAUGUAGAUCAUCUUCUCAGCCUUAGAGUAUCUUAUUUCUACAUCCUAGAGAAGCUUGCUGGUAUAAUAAAUUGGCCUUUGGUUCCCUAUAUCUUCUCAGACCAAUACAGCUUUGACAUUAAUAGGUG
RNAcentral lists this long non-coding RNA (565 nucleotides) under Elaeis guineensis (African oil palm). RNAcentral describes it as "long non-coding RNA (EGUI_LNC038855)". The record is from RNAcentral. Lineage: Eukaryota; Viridiplantae; Streptophyta; Magnoliopsida; Arecales; Arecaceae.